UGCCCUAGUAACGGCGAGUGAAGCGGCAACAGCUCAAAUUUGAAAGCUAUUCGGGUUCGCAUUGUAAUUUGUAGAGGAUGAUUUGGGGAAGCCGCCUGUCUAAGUUCCUUGGAACAGGACGUCAUAGAGGGUGAGAAUCCCGUAUGUGACAGGAAAUGGCACCCUAUGUAAAUCUCCUUCGACGAGUCGAGUUGUUUGGGAAUGCAGCUCUAAAUGGGAGGUAAAUUUCUUCUAAAGCUAAAUAUUGGCGAGAGACCGAUAGCGCACAAGUAGAGUGAUCGAAAGAUGAAAAGCACUUUGGAAAGAGAGUUAAAAAGCACGUGAAAUUGUUGAAAGGGAAGCGCUUGCAAUCAGACUUGUUUAAACUGUUCGGCCGGUCUUCUGACCGGUUUACUCAGUUUGGACAGGCCAGCAUCAGUUUCGGCGGCCGGAUAAAGGCUCUGGGAAUGUGGCCUCCACUUCGGUGGAGGUGUUAUAGCCCAGGGUGUAAUACGGCCAGCCGGGACUGAGGUCCGCGCUUCGGCUAGGAUGCUGGCGUAAUGGUUGUAAGCGACCCGUCUUGAAACACGGACCAAGGAGUCUAACAUCUAUGCGAGUGUUCGGGUGUCAAACCCCUGCGCGUAAUGAAAGUGAACGGAGGUGGGAACCCGCAAGGGUGCACCAUCGACCGAUCCUGAUGUCUUCGGAUGGAUUUGAGUAAGAGCAUAGCUGUUGGGACCCGAAAGAUGGUGAACUAUGCCUGAAUAGGGUGAAGCCAGAGGAAACUCUGGUGGAGGCUCGCAGCGGUUCUGACGUGCAAAUCGAUCGUCAAAUUUGGGUAUAGGGGCGAAAGUCAUC
This 837-nucleotide ribosomal RNA is filed under the name Aureobasidium proteae. RNAcentral describes it as "partial large subunit ribosomal RNA". It matches the Rfam family "Eukaryotic large subunit ribosomal RNA", at positions 76 to 936 of the family's 3401-position model. Lineage: Eukaryota; Fungi; Ascomycota; Dothideomycetes; Dothideales; Saccotheciaceae. The record is from RNAcentral.